CCUACGGGUGGCAGCAGUGAGGAAUAUUGGUCAAUGGGCGGAAUCCUGAACCAGCCAUGUCGCGUGCAGGACGACGGCUCUACGAGUUGUAAACUGCUUUUGUACCGGGGUAAAAUGCUCGACGAGUAGGGUUUUGAAAGUACGGUACGAAUAAGGAUCGGCUAACUCCGUGCCAGCAGCCGCGGUAAUACGGAGGAUCCGAGCGUUAUCCGGAUUUAUUGGGUUUAAAGGGUGCGUAGGUGGAUUUAUAAGUUAGUGGGGAAAUACAGAGGCUCAACCUCGAGGUGGCCGUUGAUAAUGUAGGACUAGAGAACGGGUGCAGAAGGAGGAAUGUGUGGUGUAGCGGUGAAAU
RNAcentral lists this ribosomal RNA (352 nucleotides) under uncultured bacterium. RNAcentral's name for it is "partial 16S ribosomal RNA". It matches the Rfam family "Bacterial small subunit ribosomal RNA", at positions 338 to 687 of the family's 1533-position model. The record is from RNAcentral.